CUUUUGAUGGCGACCGGCGCACGGGUGAGUAACACGUAUCCAACCUGCCGAUGACUCGGGGAUAGCCUUUCGAAAGAAAGAUUAAUACCCGAUGGCAUAGUUCUUCCGCAUGGUAGAACUAUUAAAGAAUUUCGGUCAUCGAUGGGGAUGCGUUCCAUUAGGUUGUUGGCGGGGUAACGGCCCACCAAGCCUUCGAUGGAUAGGGGUUCUGAGAGGAAGGUCCCCCACAUUGGAACUGAGACACGGUCCAA
RNAcentral lists this ribosomal RNA (251 nucleotides) under uncultured bacterium. RNAcentral's name for it is "partial 16S ribosomal RNA". It matches the Rfam family "Bacterial small subunit ribosomal RNA", at positions 78 to 334 of the family's 1533-position model. The record is from RNAcentral.